CAGUCGCCGCGGUAAUACGGAGGGUGCAAGCGUUAAUCGGAAUUACUGGGCGUAAAGCGCACGCAGGCGGUCUGACAAGUCAGAUGUGAAAUCCCCGGGCUUAACCUGGGAACUGCAUUUGAAACUGUCAGGCUGGAGUCUUGUAGAGGGGGGUGGAAUUCCAGGUGUAGCGGUGAAAUGCGUAGAGAUCUGGAGGAAUACCGGUGGCGAAGGCGGCCCCCUGGACAAAGACUGACGCUCAGGUGCGAAAGCGUGGGGAGCAAACAGGAUUAGAGACCCCCGUGUCCCUGUCUCUUAUACC
RNAcentral lists this ribosomal RNA (301 nucleotides) under uncultured bacterium. Its description in RNAcentral is "partial 16S ribosomal RNA". It matches the Rfam family "Bacterial small subunit ribosomal RNA", at positions 509 to 808 of the family's 1533-position model. The record is from RNAcentral.